This 279-nucleotide ribosomal RNA is filed under the name uncultured bacterium. Its description in RNAcentral is "partial 16S ribosomal RNA". It matches the Rfam family "Bacterial small subunit ribosomal RNA", at positions 506 to 784 of the family's 1533-position model. The record is from RNAcentral.
UGCCAGCCGCCGCGGUAAGACGGAGGUGGCAAACGCUGUUCGGAAUCACUGGGCUUAAAGGGCGUGUAGGCGGCCGAUCAAGUCGGGUGUGAAAGCCCGGGGCUCAACCCCGGAAGUGCAUUGGAAACUGGCGAACUUGAGUACGGGAGAGGAAAGUGGAAUUCCGAGUGUAGGGGUGAAAUCCGUAGAUAUUCGGAGGAACACCAGUGGCGAAGGCGGCUUUCUGGACCGAUACUGACGCUGAGACGCGAAAGCGUGGGGAGCAAACAGGAUUAGAUA